AGCUGCAUAUCUCUGAUAAAUGACAGCUCACACCCCAGGGAGGUUCAAGUUAUUUUAUAUUCACUGUGCAUGAUUUUAGAAAUGCACCUCUAACUUUAUUCUUUUCACCUCUCUCUUCUGUCUCUCGUAGCAUUGAGUCAGGAGUCUGGCUUACAGCUGGCUUAGCAUUGUUGUAAUUCUGAUCGGUCUGACUGUGCCUCUGUGCAUUUUAAGUUGUAUUAAGGUAAUUAGUGAUACAGGUGCAGUUUGCCAGCCAGUGGGAAUGCCUCUAUACCAGUUUGGAGUAAAAUGUACUGUGCAUCUCUACGUCUCACAUCCCUGGAUGAGGGGCCGUGCCGGUCUGGCUACACGGGGACAGCAAGAGCAGUGCCAGCUCGCUGCCUCUGCAAGGCCUGGAGGAUUUGGCAUCGUUUGCAUCUGCACACUGAUGUCCACGCUACGUCAGAGCCAGUCUGCAGCAGCAAAAAUAAGGAAGGGCUCAGGCCUGCUGCCGUCCAAGGCCCAUCUGUUGCAGAAAGGAAUCCUCUGUUUGAAUUAGUUUGUAAAUUGGAAUAUUGGUGUCCUGGGUGAACAUGCACGCUUGGAAUAAAACUUUGGCUAGACAUGACAAAUUUCAGAGGUGUUAGAAUACCCUGUGCCAGAUCAUGCACAUGGCCAAGAGCUGCAGGACUUUGAGAGCUUCUCGAGGGGAGAUGUUUACAUCACUGGGGUUCUCACCUAUAAGCUGGGGGCUUGUCCAGGCACAGGACUCAGCUGCUCUUCUGGAGAGGAAAAUAAUCAGCCUUGUUUACGAGCUGAGAGGUUGGACUGGAGAUCUCAGAGGGUUCUUACCACCAGCACUUCUCUGUUUCUGUGGUAACCGAGGCAAACUUGAAAAGCUGAGCUUCAGGUCUGUGUUUAUGGAAAAAGAUGGAAGGCGGCCCAGCUUUCCUGAAUACACAAGAAAAGUAAAUAAAUGUGAUUAAGAUAAGCAGGUUUAGAGGAG
This 985-nucleotide long non-coding RNA is filed under the name Manacus vitellinus (golden-collared manakin). Its description in RNAcentral is "lncRNA (ENSMVIG00005012358.1)". The record is from RNAcentral. Lineage: Eukaryota; Metazoa; Chordata; Aves; Passeriformes; Pipridae.